This 70-nucleotide transfer RNA is filed under the name Bradypus variegatus (Brown-throated sloth). RNAcentral describes it as "tRNA-Gly". Lineage: Eukaryota; Metazoa; Chordata; Mammalia; Pilosa; Bradypodidae. The record is from RNAcentral.
AUUCUCUUAGUAUAAUAAGUACAGUUGACUUCCAAUCAACUAGUUCCGGCAACAAGACCGGAAAGGAAUA